CACGGGGGGAGCAAGCGUUGUUCGGAAUCACUGGGCGUAAAGGGCGUGUAGGCGGUCAGGUAAGUGAGAUGUGAAAUGCCCCGGCUCACCCGGGGACCGGCAUCUCAUACUGCUUGGCUUGAGUACGGGAGAGGAUGUGGGAAUUCCUGGUGUAGCGGUGAAAUGCGUAGAUAUCGUAAGGAAGACCAGUGGCGAAGGCGGGUCUCUGGACAGUUCCUGACGCUGAGGCACGAAGGCCAGGGGAGCAAACGGG
This 253-nucleotide ribosomal RNA is filed under the name uncultured bacterium. RNAcentral describes it as "partial 16S ribosomal RNA". It matches the Rfam family "Bacterial small subunit ribosomal RNA", at positions 524 to 776 of the family's 1533-position model. The record is from RNAcentral.